AUUGAACGCUGGCGGCAGGCCUAACACAUGCAAGUCGAACGGUAACAGGAAACAGCUUGCUGUUUCGCUGACGAGUGGCGGACGGGUGAGUAAUGUCUGGGAAACUGCCUGAUGGAGGGGGAUAACUACUGGAAACGGUAGCUAAUACCGCAUAACGUCGCAAGACCAAAGAGGGGGACCCUCGGGCCUCUUGCCAUCGGAUGUGCCCAGAUGGGAUUAGCUUGUUGGUGGGGUAACGGCUCACCAAGGCGACGAUCCCUAGCUGGUCUGAGAGGAUGACCAGCCACACUGGAACUGAGACACGGUCCAUACUCCUACGGGAGGCAGCAGUGGGGAAUAUUGCACAAUGGGCGCAAGCCUGAUGCAGCCAUGCCGCGUGUAUGAAGAAGGCCUUCGGGUUGUAAAGUACUUUCAGCGGGGAGGAAGGGAGUAAAGUUAAUACCUUUGCUCAUUGACGUUACCCGCAGAAUAAGCAUCGGUUAACUCCGUGCCAGCAGCCGCGGUAAUACGGAGGGUGCAAGCGUUAAUCGGAAUUACUGGGCGUAAAGCGCACGCAGGCGGUUUGUUAAGUCAGAUGUGAAAUCCCCGGGCUCAACCUGGGAACUGCAUCUGAUACUGGCAAGCUUGAGUCUCGUAGAGGGGGGUAGAAUUCCAGGUGUAGCGGUGAAAUGCGUAGAGAUCUGGAGGAAUACCGGUGGCGAAGGCGGCCCCCUGGACGAAGACUGACGCUCAGGUGCGAAAGCGUGGGGAGCAAACAGGAUUAGAUACCCUGGUAGUCCACGCCGUAAACGAUGUCGACUUGGAGGUUGUGCCCUUGAGGCGUGGCUUCCGGAGCUAACGCGUUAAGUCGACCGCCUGGGGAGUACGGCCGCAAGGUUAAAACUCAAAUGAAUUGACGGGGGCCCGCACAAGCGGUGGAGCAUGUGGUUUAAUUCGAUGCAACGCGAAGAACCUUACCUGGUCUUGACAUCCACGGAAGUUUUCAGAGAUGAGAAUGUGCCCUCGGGAACCGUGAGACAGGUGCUGCAUGGCUGUCGUCAGCUCGUGUUGUGAAAUGUUGGGUUAAGUCCCGCAACGAGCGCAACCCUUAUCCUUUGUUGCCAGCGGUCCGGCCGGGAACUCAAAGGAGACUGCCAGUGAUAAACUGGAGGAAGGUGGGGAUGACGUCAAGUCAUCAUGGCCCUUACGACCAGGGCUACACACGUGCUACAAUGGCGCAUACAAAGAGAAGCGACCUCGCGAGAGCAAGCGGACCUCAUAAAGUGCGUCGUAGUCCGGAUUGGAGUCUGCAACUCGACUCCAUGAAGUCGGAAUCGCUAGUAAUCGUGGAUCAGAAUGCCACGGUGAAUACGUUCCCGGGCCU
This 1363-nucleotide ribosomal RNA is filed under the name uncultured bacterium. Its description in RNAcentral is "bacterial SSU rRNA". It matches the Rfam family "Bacterial small subunit ribosomal RNA", at positions 28 to 1381 of the family's 1533-position model. The record is from RNAcentral.